CAAAACGUCAGACUUUGUUAAUAUACCUUAUAUUGUGCCUGCAAUUGAGAUAAUCGUUGCUGCCUUAUUGCUUCGAGUUCUGGAUCAGCCAUUUUUUCACAAUAUCAAGUUUAUAUUGUAUAAUUUGUACGUGAAUUUGUACAAUUCAACGUGUUUUUUCAAAAUAUGCUUAUACCGCAAUAGUGCUGAACGCAACCUUCAAUAUGUAACACCAAUUUAAGUCUCGCAGCAAGCAGUGUGAAGUUAGUGGCAUAUACAUAUAUCGAAUGAAUUUAUGUAAAUACUUAUUUAGUCAGUACUUACUUUAGACACGCUGUACUGUAGUAUUUACGUAUCGCAAUAUCGAUGUGUAAAUAAUAGGCGAAAUUUAAAUUCAUACUUCAAUAUAUUUAUAUUUAAAAUGUAUAACAAUAUACUGUUUAAGUAUUUGAUUGCAAAUAAUCGAGUAAAGAAAAAGUUAAAAUUCAAGAAAUUAGAAGUACUUUGUGUAGAAAAUACUAAAUUUGUUGGUACAAACUAUAUCGAAUUAGUAAUUUUAUUUAAAUUAUAUAUAGUCUUUUAGAGAUGUUAUUUUUUUAUAAUAUUUGGUAUUAUGACUAGCACUAUCAAAGGUUUAAGGGUGGAUUGAAAUCUAAAAAACAUUCAUUGAUUGAUUGAUAAAAUUUGAUGUAGGAUUGGAUCAUAGUGAUCUCUAAACUAUAGGUAUUAAACUGCUAAAUAAGUAAGAAUGUGUGGUAAUUAAUAUUCGAGAAAUGCCAGACAAUUUAAAACAAAUAUGCAUGAUUAUAAACAAAAAUUUAUAUUUCGGUCAAUUCUGAUCUAAAGUUCAUAAAAUUUUUAUAUAAUAUUAAAAACAUGUUAGACUUUCUUUAUUACUAACAAAAUCAAAAAGGAACUAUUUGCAAAUGCAUGAAGGAGCAAUAAUUGUUCCUUGGCACUCAAAGAGCUAAAUGUUGUACUUAAGUAUAUUUGUUUGGAAGAAAUAAUUAUGAAUUAAUAUAUAUUUGCUAUAUGCUUCAUGUUUACACAAAAAUUAUAUUGCUUUGCACCAGUACGUAAAGCCUAUUUUCAGUUAAAGCAACUAAGGAACAUGAAUAAUGCAGUUUACCGCUUUAAAUAGUGUUUGUACUGUCAUACCAUGGCGGCAUCCAAUUACUCGUAGCUCUACUUCUUCCUUUAGAAUGGUGUCUUUACCAAAACUAGGAGAAUAUGGUCUGAUAACAUCCGUGGGAAGUGCACGAUCAGGUGAAGGAUUAUGAAUCCUUCCGGAAGACUGAAGUGAAGGUGAUCGCUUGCGUCGAAAGCCUUGAGGUUCAUCAUCAACAUUGCAGACAUGAAGUCGACCUUCGACUGCCCGACGGUGGUUUUCCACAUACACUGUCCUCAUGGAUUCGGGUAUUCAAUAUCUGAAAAGCGUUCUGAUUCUGGACAGCAUUCGCACAAUCGAACUGAUCCACGUUAUUAUUUAUCCAGUGGUUUUCUUUUCGUCUGGAAGCACUUAAACUAUGAUCUCGUCUACGAUGCAUUUUUUGAUUGGCGCACUGACUUUCGCGUUUCGUGCAAUAAGCCAUCCUGUAUUCUGGCUCAAGGUCGAGAUUUCCUUCCAAACGUAAAGUGGAUGGCAUCCGCAAGGGUUCCACCUUUGGUAUGCGACCAUAGGGAACGUAUUGAGAUCUCACCUCACUGGGUGGUCCCUUUGGUAAUCUAAGUAUUUCGAUUUGUAUUCCGGAUCUUGGUCAAUCUUCGUGGAAAACUUGCUGGUAGGCGACGAAGGAACUUUAGAACCAUCAGCCCGCCCGAUCUCAUCCUCGGGUUUCACAAUUUUGGGACGUUCCCUUGGAAAAUUCUGUAAUAAAACAAUUUUCUUUUAAAAAUGUAUAGUAACGCAAUGAGGAUUGCAUUUCAGGGAGUACACCCGAAUAUUUCUGUAAUUUAUCUUGUACAAAAAAACCUCACGGGAUAAGUUUAUAAAUUGUUUACAUUACUUCUUGAUUGUUCUAGUUCUAUAGUGUAUCUCUGCGAAUUGAGAACACCGAAUUUUCUUAAAAAAUAUGAGUGACAUAAAGAAAUAUCUCAGACAAAAGCUAUAAGGAUAUGUAAUAAAAAAUAUAAGGUUCUAUUUAAGAGACGUAACGUGAUAUUUUCAGGGUAGUCCAAGGUCAUCUUAAGAUCAAAUAAAGAAACACAUGAUAUGUAGCACUUAAUGCUCUAUAUAAGUCUAUAACUCAUAUUUUUUUAAACAAUUCUUAGUUCUUAAAAACACACUGUAUAUGAUUAGUAACAAUGGGAAUGUGUUACAUAAUCACGUCACGUGAAAUAUCCUGUAUAAUUGAAUUGAAGAAGUAUUUACCUUAUACGCGUCUUUAUAUUCAGGAACUUCGAGCGGUGGACCUUUGAGGUCUUCCAACUUUGAGACCAACAUCUGCAUCUCUUCUUCUGUUUUUUUCUCCUUUUGCACCUUUCGUUCCCUUUCCUCCCUUUCGAUGUCUUUAUUCAAUUCGCUCAUUAAUUGUGCUUCUCUUACACGGGGAUUAAUGAAGUUGUCAGUGUUUUCUGUGUUUUGGAAGAAAUCUUUUCCUGUCCUUAGGUGCGUUUCCGGUUUCACUGGUUGCCGCCUUUCUACAAUACAGAAUAAUCAAAUGAAACUUUAUACAUUUUUAAUAUUCUACUUGUGAUAUUUGAAGCUCGUUCUCUUUUAACGCGCAACGUUAUAUAAGUUGUUCUUUGAUUUUAUUCUAACAUAUUCAUGCAUGUUUAUUGUUUAUUAUAUUUUAAAUGACAAAGCAUCCAGGAAAUGAUACAAUAAGAUAAUGAUUCUUUCAAAAAUCUCAGGUGUUAGCUUUUAUAGUCAGAUUUCAGUGUUUUCUUCAAAUACGAAACACAAUUGAACACAUUUAAAGGAAUAUUUUACUUUAUUAAUUAGUAAUAUAUUACUAAAACUACCAGACCAGUCAAAAUGACCUACCUAAAAAUUCUUAUUUCACAAUUAUCAGAAUUGUGAAGACGUUUUUGUGAAAAAUUAUAAAGCAGAUCUGUGUAUUUGUAUGAAUACAAUCAGUACUAGGCGCUUCAAAUGUUGAGGAAUACACUUUUUUAAUUUUUGUAAGACAUUAUAGAAAAAUACUGUAAUUGUUCUAAUGUUAAUUAAAGGAAUCUUUCUUAAACAGUCUAAAUUUCUGAAAGUUUGAAAAUCCAAUUUUGUUUUGUUUCAAAAUACUUUUGUUCUAUUUGUGAGAAAUGCUGAAGUUCAAUUAAACAUACCUAUCGUUUAUUUUGUACGAACUAGUUUCAACAAAUUUUUUCUAAAAGUUGCAUUCAUACUGUUUAAGUGAAAAAUAACUGGAACGUCACCUCUAUGUUGGUGUCUUUUGAAAACGUCAGCAUACUCCGGCAUAAAAUUAGAUUCACCUUCCAAUUUCAAAUUCGUAUGCCGCCUUAGCAGUUCUGGUCUACGCACGCCCACGAAUGGCACGUAUUUCUCAUGAUUUUCAGUCGUCGUUUCAAGUUCACCCUCAAGUUUUAAGUGCGUGGGAAUCCGCAUAAGUUCUGGUCGGCUGACGUUCAGCCACUGUAUGAAUUUUUCGCAUUUUUCGGUGGUCGUCUGCAAAUCGCCCUCCAUUUUUAGCGAUGUUGGUCUUCGAGCCAAUUCCGGUCUGUGUUGACCUUCGUAGGGCACGUACGAGGAAUACAUUUCCGUGUCCGUGUAAAAUUGUCCAUCCCUCUUCAAAGUAGUACCUCUUUCAUUGAAUUAAGAAAAAAUAAUCAGAAAUUGAGUAGAAUUUAAGAACGUUUGAGUAAUUUAUUUUGAAAGCGAUUUAAGUCCAUUUUUAAAAAAAAUUUAA
This is a non-coding RNA of Nomia melanderi (Alkali bee), 3842 nucleotides long. The record is from RefSeq and is a predicted model, not a curated record. NCBI's taxonomy places the organism in Eukaryota, Metazoa, Arthropoda, Insecta, Hymenoptera, Halictidae.